Molecule: long non-coding RNA, 640 nt
Organism: Lathyrus oleraceus (garden pea)
Lineage: Eukaryota; Viridiplantae; Streptophyta; Magnoliopsida; Fabales; Fabaceae
Exons: 3
Source: RefSeq, a predicted model, not a curated record
CCCAAACCUUACCUUCAACCGAGGUCCAGGAUUGCAGGAGCGUACUUAGUCGAGUACUAAAUGUUCCUGAGUAUUCCGGUCGUGUGAGGGGUAAGGGUUUUGGUGUGACUCCGUCGUCAUUUUAUAAAAAACCAAAAACAAAAAAUCCUACCAACAAAGAGGUGAUGGAGACCUUGGCGGAGUUAAGGGCACAAGUACUCGAACUGCAAAAGGAGAAUGCAAGGUAUAGAGAGGAAAGGUGUGGUUCCGAGGCAAAAGAUACUAGUGACCGAGCUAGUAUCAAUUGUCAACCGAAAUUUCCCGAGGGCAUUACACCUUGUCAGCUGUAUCUAUCGUCACCAACUUAUCGCAUAGUUGGCAAGGGAAAAGUGCACAACACUUCGGGUGAAUUACUUCACCAUAAUCCCCUCCCGGUGGGAUAUAUGAAAGUUUCGGUUGACCUUGUAUUAGAUACCGACGCGCUUCUACCAUUACCUGACGUUGUUUCAGAGACAACGUUGAUGCGAGAUGCAGUCGGAUCCUUUGUUGGAUGACCGUCAGAUCUAAUUUUCCCAGAUGCCGAGACUCCUACAAGACCCACACAUAAAGCUGGUAAAGGGAUUUCAAGACGCAUCGAGUCGGUUGCAUCUCAAAAAGAGGU